UAGGGAAUCUUCCACAAUGGGCGAAAGCCUGAUGGAGCAACGCCGCGUGUGUGAUGAAGGGUUUCGGCUCGUAAAACACUGUUGUAAGAGAAGAAUGACAUUGAGAGUAACUGUUCAAUGUGUGACGGUAUCUUACCAGAAAGGAACGGCUAAAUACGUGACCAA
RNAcentral lists this ribosomal RNA (165 nucleotides) under uncultured bacterium. RNAcentral describes it as "partial 16S rRNA". It matches the Rfam family "Bacterial small subunit ribosomal RNA", at positions 355 to 512 of the family's 1533-position model. The record is from RNAcentral.